AACAUGGCUGUCAUUGACAGUAGUCAACUUGGUUUAUUAACUUAAGUAAACAAACUGUUUACCAAUGGGUUCUUGAAAUGGAGAUCCUUUAUCAGUUUGUAUUUAUUUUGACAACUUUAACGCAACAAUUGGUAAUUGUACAUGGAGCAGGUACAUAUGGUAGUUAUUUUAUUCUGGGGGUACCGC
Long non-coding RNA from Physella acuta, 186 nucleotides. RefSeq lists it as uncharacterized. NCBI's taxonomy places the organism in Eukaryota, Metazoa, Mollusca, Gastropoda, Physidae. The record is from RefSeq and is a predicted model, not a curated record.